This 497-nucleotide ribosomal RNA is filed under the name uncultured bacterium. RNAcentral describes it as "partial 16S ribosomal RNA". It matches the Rfam family "Bacterial small subunit ribosomal RNA", at positions 28 to 507 of the family's 1533-position model. The record is from RNAcentral.
GACGAACGCUGGCGGCGUGCCUAAUACAUGCAAGUUGAGCGCUGAAGGUUGGUACUUGUACCAACUGGAUGAGCAGCGAACGGGUGAGUAACGCGUGGGGAAUCUGCCUUUGAGCGGGGGACAACAUUUGGAAACGAAUGCUAAUACCGCAUAAAAACUUUAAACACAAGUUUUAAGUUUGAAAGAUGCAAUUGCAUCACUCAAAGAUGAUCCCGCGUUGUAUUAGCUAGUUGGUGAGGUAAAGGCUCACCAAGGCGAUGAUACAUAGCCGACCUGAGAGGGGGAUCGGCGACAUGGGGACUGGGACACGGCCCAAACGCCUACGGGAGGCAGCAGUAGGGAAUCGUCGGCAAUGGACGAGAGUCUGACCGAGCAACGCCGCGUGAGUGAAGAAGGUUUUCGGAUCGUAAAACUCUGUUGGUAGAGAAGAACGUUGGUGGGAGUGGAAAGCUCAUCAAGUGACGGUAACUACCCAGAAAGGGACGGCUAACUACGUG